Molecule: transfer RNA, 67 nt
Filed under: Etrocorema hochii
Lineage: Eukaryota; Metazoa; Arthropoda; Insecta; Plecoptera; Perlidae
Description: tRNA-Ile
Source: RNAcentral
AAUGAAAUGCCUGAUUAAAAGGACUAUCGUGAUAGGGUAGAUCAUGCAAAUUUAUUUGCUUUCAUUA